RNAcentral lists this ribosomal RNA (253 nucleotides) under uncultured bacterium. RNAcentral's name for it is "partial 16S ribosomal RNA". It matches the Rfam family "Bacterial small subunit ribosomal RNA", at positions 524 to 776 of the family's 1533-position model. The record is from RNAcentral.
UACGUAGGGUGCGAGCGUUAAUCGGAAUUACUGGGCGUAAAGCGUGCGCAGGCGGUUUUGUAAGUCAGAUGUGAGAUCCCCGGGCUCAACCUGGGAACUGCGUUUGAAACUACAAGGCUAGAAUGUAGCAGAGGGGGGUAGAAUUCCACGUGUAGCAGUGAAAUGCGUAGAGAUGUGGAGGAAUACCAAUGGCGAAGGCAGCCCCCUGGGUUAACACUGACGCUCAUGCACGAAAGCGUGGGGAGCAAACAGG